RNAcentral lists this ribosomal RNA (253 nucleotides) under uncultured bacterium. Its description in RNAcentral is "partial 16S ribosomal RNA". It matches the Rfam family "Bacterial small subunit ribosomal RNA", at positions 524 to 776 of the family's 1533-position model. The record is from RNAcentral.
UACGUAGGGUGCGAGCGUUAAUCGGAAUUACUGGGCGUAAAGCGUGCGUAGGCGGUUUGUUAAGUCCGUUGUGAAAGCCCUGGGCUCAACCUGGGAAUUGCAGUGGAUACUGGCGAGCUAGAGUGCGGUAGAGGAUGGUGGAAUUCCCGGUGUAGCGGUGAAAUGCGUAGAGAUCGGGAGGAACACCCGUGGCGAAGGCGGCCAUCUGGACCAGCACUGACGCUGAGGCACGAAAGCGUGGGGAGCAAACAGG